This 253-nucleotide ribosomal RNA is filed under the name uncultured bacterium. RNAcentral's name for it is "partial 16S ribosomal RNA". It matches the Rfam family "Bacterial small subunit ribosomal RNA", at positions 524 to 776 of the family's 1533-position model. The record is from RNAcentral.
UACGUAGGGUGCAAGCGUUGUCCGGAAUCAUUGGGCGUAAAGCGCGUGUAGGCGGCCCGAUAAGUCCGCUGUGAAAGUCCAGGGCUCAACCCUGGGAUGCCGGUGGAUACUGUCGGGCUCGAGUCCGGAAGAGGCGAGUGGAAUUCCUGGUGUAGCGGUGAAAUGCGCAGAUAUCAGGAGGAACACCAAUGGCGAAGGCAGCUCGCUGGGACGUGACUGACGCUGAGACGCGAAAGCGUGGGGAGCAAACAGG